GGAUCUGGACCUGAACCUGAACCUGAACCUGGACCCAUCUGUACCAUCAUAAAAGCUGAAACUCAUCAACUCAUUAUCAGGAGCCGGUCAAGAAGCCCACCACCAUCUUCCAGAGGGCAUCCAAAGCCAGUGACCUUCAAGAGACCUGGACCUGGACCUGAACCUGAACCUG
Long non-coding RNA from Perca fluviatilis (European perch), 172 nucleotides. RefSeq lists it as uncharacterized. NCBI's taxonomy places the organism in Eukaryota, Metazoa, Chordata, Actinopteri, Perciformes, Percidae. The record is from RefSeq and is a predicted model, not a curated record. The transcript is spliced from 3 exons.